UCGCGUCUUACGACGGCAGUUUCACUAGAGUUCCCAGCAUUACCUGAUGGCAACUAGUGAUGGGGGUUGCGCUCGUUGCGGGACUUAACCCAACACCUCACGGCACGAGCUGACGACAGCCAUGCAGCACCUGUGUGUAGGCCCCGUAAGGGGAGGAAUCCAUCUCUGGAAGCCGUCCUACCAUGUCAAACGCUGGUAAGGUUCUGCGCGUUGCUUCGAAUUGAACCACAUGCUCCACCGCUUGUGCGGGCCCCCGUCAAUUCCUUUGAGUUUCAAUCUUGCGACCGUACUUCCCAGGUGGGAUACUUAAUGCUUUCGCUCAGACACCAACAGUGUAUCGCUGAUGUCGAGUAUCCAUCGUUUAGGGCGUGGACUAC
This 377-nucleotide unclassified non-coding RNA is filed under the name uncultured Chitinophagaceae bacterium. Its description in RNAcentral is "contains 16S-23S intergenic spacer region". The record is from RNAcentral. Lineage: Bacteria; Pseudomonadati; Bacteroidota; Chitinophagia; Chitinophagales; Chitinophagaceae.